This 792-nucleotide ribosomal RNA is filed under the name uncultured archaeon. RNAcentral's name for it is "bacterial SSU rRNA". It matches the Rfam family "Archaeal small subunit ribosomal RNA", at positions 85 to 878 of the family's 1478-position model. The record is from RNAcentral.
ACUGCUCAGUAACACGUGGAUAACCUGCCCUUAGGUCUGGCAUAACCCCGGGAAACUGGGGAUAAUUCCGGAUAGAUCAUGGAUGCUGGAAUGCACCGUGGUCGAAAGCUUUUGUGCCUAAGGAUGGGUCUGCGGUCUAUCAGGUUGUAGUGGGUGUAACGUACCUACUAGCCUACGACGGAUACGGGUUGUGGGAGCAAGAGCCCGGAGAUGGAUUCUGAGACAUGAAUCCAGGCCCUACGGGGCGCAGCAGGCGCGAAAACUUUACAAUGCGGGAAACCGCGAUAAGGGGACACCGAGUGCCAGCAUCCUAUGUUGGCUGUCCAUAUGUAUAAAUAACAUGUGUUAGCAAGGGCCGGGCAAGACCGGUGCCAGCCGCCGCGGUAACACCGGCGGCCCGAGUGGUGGCCACUAUUAUUGGGUCUAAAGGGUCCGUAGCCGGUUUGGUCAGUCUUCCGGGAAAUCUGACGGCUUAACCGUUAGGCUUUCGGGGGAUACUGCCAGGCUUGGGACCGGGAGAGGUAAGAGGUACUACGGGGGUAGGAGUGAAAUCUUGUAAUCCCUGUGGGACCACCAGUGGCGAAGGCGUCUUACCAGAACGGGUCCGACGGUGAGGGACGAAAGCUGGGGGCACGAACCGGAUUAGAUACCCGGGUAGUCCCAGCCGUAAACUAUGCUCGCUAGGUGUCAGGGACGGUGCGACCGUUUCUGGUGCCGUAGGGAAGCCGUGAAGCGAGCCACCUGGGAAGUACGGUCGCAAGGCUGAAACUUAAAGGAAUUGGCGGGGGAGCA